RNAcentral lists this non-coding RNA (23 nucleotides) under Arabidopsis thaliana (thale cress). Lineage: Eukaryota; Viridiplantae; Streptophyta; Magnoliopsida; Brassicales; Brassicaceae. The record is from RNAcentral.
ACCUUGUGUAACUCGCCCGAUGA